Molecule: long non-coding RNA, 555 nt
Filed under: Homo sapiens (human)
Lineage: Eukaryota; Metazoa; Chordata; Mammalia; Primates; Hominidae
Description: HSALNT0341097
Source: RNAcentral
ACUUGUGCCCAGAGUUUGAUUUUCCACAGACCAGGUAGAGGCCAAGAGCCUCUCACAGACUCUGCAGCAGGGUUGCUAUGAUUAACUCUUAAGUACUCCACAACUACACGCUUUUGAAACUGGCGUUGGCAUAGCGUUAGUUCUGUGCAGGGCGGACGCAGCAGGACAGAAUCUCCCUGGGCAUCUUUUCGGAGCAUCAAUUUUACUGCAAAAUUUUGAAAAAACAAAUUUAAUUGAUUUCCAAGGUUUGUCAAGGAGGACAGAAACUCAGAGCACCCUGCACUUGGGGAUCGGCACUAGGAGCUGCUCUCUGGAUGGGGAGAUGGGAGCUAGCAGCUCACAAUGGGGUCACAAGACAUCUGAAAAUACUCAGAAGUUACAAGAAUUCAUAAAAUACCCACCAAAGCUAAUAGAAAACAUGGAACCUUCCAGGACAAGAAGUAAAUUAAAAGAACAACCCAGAGGAGUAAUCAAAGUGAGAAGCCAGUGCCGCCUCCAGGUACUGGAUGAUCACAGGGACCUCAGGCUUUGGGGAUUAUUCAACUACCUUCUUGG